RNAcentral lists this ribosomal RNA (966 nucleotides) under Lactobacillus gasseri. RNAcentral describes it as "bacterial SSU rRNA". It matches the Rfam family "Bacterial small subunit ribosomal RNA", at positions 8 to 929 of the family's 1533-position model. The record is from RNAcentral. Lineage: Bacteria; Bacillati; Bacillota; Bacilli; Lactobacillales; Lactobacillaceae.
AGAGUUUGAUCAUGGCUCAGGACGAACGCUGGCGGCGUGCCUAAUACAUGCAAGUCGAGCGAGCUUGCCUAGAUGAAUUUGGUGCUUGCACCAAAUGAAACUAGAUACAAGCGAGCGGCGGACGGGUGAGUAACACGUGGGUAACCUGCCCAAGAGACUGGGAUAACACCUGGAAACAGAUGCUAAUACCGGAUAACAACACUAGACGCAUGUCUAGAGUUUAAAAGAUGGUUCUGCUAUCACUCUUGGAUGGACCUGCGGUGCAUUAGCUAGUUGGUAAGGUAACGGCUUACCAAGGCAAUGAUGCAUAGCCGAGUUGAGAGACUGAUCGGCCACAUUGGGACUGAGACACGGCCCAAACUCCUACGGGAGGCAGCAGUAGGGAAUCUUCCACAAUGGACGCAAGUCUGAUGGAGCAACGCCGCGUGAGUGAAGAAGGGUUUCGGCUCGUAAAGCUCUGUUGGUAGUGAAGAAAGAUAGAGGUAGUAACUGGCCUUUAUUUGACGGUAAUUACUUAGAAAGUCACGGCUAACUACGUGCCAGCAGCCGCGGUAAUACGUAGGUGGCAAGCGUUGUCCGGAUUUAUUGGGCGUAAAGCGAGUGCAGGCGGUUCAAUAAGUCUGCAUGUGAAAGCCUUUCGGGCUCAACCGGAAAAUUGCAUCGGAAACCUGUUGAACUUGAGUGCAGAAGAGGAGAGUGGAACUCCAUGUGUAGCGGUGGAAUGCGUAGAUAUAUGGAAGAACACCAGUGGCGAAGGCGGCUCUCUGGUCUGCAACUGACGCUGAGGCUCGAAAGCAUGGGUAGCGAACAGGAUUAGAUACCCUGGUAGUCCAUGCCGUAAACGAUGAGUGCUAAGUGUUGGGAGGUUUCCGCCUCUCAGUGCUGCAGCUAACGCAUUAAGCACUCCGCCUGGGGAGUACGACCGCAAGGUUGAAACUCAAAGGAAUUGACGGGGGCCCGCACAAG